UCAUUCUCGUGUGGUUCACUGCAACUCCAUGUUCUCUUCCGAGCUUGAAAAUUUAGGUCUGUUCGACCUUCAAAAUUUUACAUGAUCUGAGUUCAAACCGGUUUAAGCCAGGUUGGUUUCUAUCCUUAAUUUUAUU
Molecule: long non-coding RNA, 136 nt
Filed under: Neodiprion lecontei (redheaded pine sawfly)
Lineage: Eukaryota; Metazoa; Arthropoda; Insecta; Hymenoptera; Diprionidae
Description: uncharacterized LOC124295395, transcript variant X1
Source: RNAcentral